CCCUUAGAUGUUCUGGGCUGCACGCGCGCUACACUGAUUCAGGCAACGAGUUUACAACCUUGACUGAGAGGUCUGGGUAAUCUUAGAAACUGAAUCGUGCUGGGGAUUGUUCAUUGUAAUUAUUGAACAUAAACGAGGAAUUCCUAGUAAACGCGAGUCAUCAGCUCGCAUUGAUUACGUCCCUGCCCUUUGUACACACCGCCCGUCGCACCUACCGAUUGAAUGCUCCCGUGAGGUAUUUGGACCGCGGUUAACUCUUCCUUCAUUGGAGGCGUAAUUGUGGGAAGUUUCCCAAACGUUAGCAUUUAGAGGAAGGUGAAGUCGUAACA
Molecule: ribosomal RNA, 329 nt
Filed under: uncultured eukaryote
Lineage: Eukaryota
Description: partial 18S ribosomal RNA
Rfam family: Eukaryotic small subunit ribosomal RNA
Source: RNAcentral